This 975-nucleotide ribosomal RNA is filed under the name Rhinebothrium sp. MS05-47-1. RNAcentral describes it as "partial 28S ribosomal RNA". It matches the Rfam family "Eukaryotic large subunit ribosomal RNA", at positions 321 to 785 of the family's 3401-position model. Lineage: Eukaryota; Metazoa; Platyhelminthes; Cestoda; Rhinebothriidea; Rhinebothriidae. The record is from RNAcentral.
UACUAGCACGAGUCCGAUAGCAAACAAGUACCGUGAGGGAAAGUUGAAAAGUACUUUGAAGAGAGAGUAAACAGUACGUGAAACCGCAUGCAGGUAAACGGGUGGCGUCAAGCUGCACGCCCAGAGGAUUCAGCCGGUUAGAGUGUAGUUAUGCGCUUGCGUGUCAAACGGCCAGUGUAAGAUUGGAUAGUCCACUGGAAGACAGUGGGCCCUGCCGCAAGGUGGGGAUGUGUGUACCGGGUGGAAGCCGGAGCACGCUAUUCGUCUAUUGGGCCAUCUAGCCGGUGCACUUUCUCUGUGGUGGACACCACGACCGGUGGAACUGCCAGUCUGCCAUGGUUAACUAUCAUUCGACUUGGCUUCGGUCAUGUCGGGUGGUUCACAGGCAAUUUCGGUGAACGGCGUUGAUGCGGCCCCGGUCGCGUCCUCGUGUUAUCGGUAACCGGUUGUCCAUACGGGUCGGUGCGAUUGUUUAUGGCCGUCGCAUUGUACCUCGUGGAUCAUGGUGGUAAGAAUAACUGUGCAGGGCACCGGAGUUUUCGGCCUCAAAUGCAGCCGGCAUGCACGCUAUAAGUGUUGAAUGCGGGUGCUCACGUGGUCUGCCUGUGACGCUUCUGACUGUCGUGUUGCCUGCGAAAAGUAGGUUCGGCAGUGUGGCGUUGCUUGAUGGAUUCGCGUUGGGUGCCUGCAGUGUCGGUUGUAGUGGGCCUGAUAGUCUGUGGUGUAGUGGUAGACGAGCUACCCGACCCGUCUUGAAACACGGACCAAGGAGUUUAACAUGUGUGCAAGUCACUGGGUCCUACGAAACCCAAAGGCGCAAUGAAAGUAAAGCUCUGGAGUCAAAUCUAGAGUGAGGUGAGAUCCUACCGUGACUCCGCCAGCCUAUUCGGUCAGAAGCAGGCAUACCGCGCGGUGGGCGCAUCACCGGCCCGUCCCAUGAUGUGGUCAUUGGAAAAGGCUGUUGCUGGCUUCGGU